Pungitius pungitius (ninespine stickleback) is the source of this 369-nucleotide long non-coding RNA. RefSeq lists it as uncharacterized. The transcript is spliced from 3 exons. The record is from RefSeq and is a predicted model, not a curated record. Lineage: Eukaryota; Metazoa; Chordata; Actinopteri; Perciformes; Gasterosteidae.
CCCCACUCACCGGUGUGAGCGUGGCCGUGGGUUCGACACGUUAAAGCACACCGUGGCGAGGACCAGUAAACUACACCAGGACUGCGUUAAUGGUUGUAGCAGGAAAACCGGACGGUGACUCCAGACUUCUCGGCGCCUGAGUCUUCUUCUCAUCCACCUGCACGUAGUCGACUCUGUACUCAUCCGACAGAAAAGGCUUCUGCUGGACACAGAGGGAGAGACGAGGACACAGGGGAGAUUUGAUGAGCCAGCCGGUGCAGACCACAUCCCCAGCACUCAUCUCGACUGCAGAGCGCGUCGUCCUCACGACUGCUGCUGCUGCUGCUGCUGUGGAACUGAGAGCACUGUCAAGCAUAUCCUGUGUUCUGG